UGGAUUGAGAUGCAGACAUACUGCUGUGUUAACCCCACUACGUCGAGAAUGUGGCUGUAAUCCUUAGGGAUGGUGAUCAUGGUGUUCCAUUAAACCGGUCCGUCAGAUGCCUCCACGUCAGAAUGUGUCACCGCCCAGCACUUUCUGAUGAUACUGUUCCGUCAAACUACUUUUCCCCAUAUCCACAUAGCAAUGUGUACACAGUUUCUUUGUUCAUAAACUGCUGACCCUGCACAACACACACUUCGUGAUCUAUUUGACUUUCAAUAUGAGGUACUGCAUGUUUAAUUGAAUAGGCUAAACUGCGCUGGGUUGGCGUAUCUCGCUGGGUUCAUUUCUUGGGAUGUUGUUAUUGUUUUGUGCGUAUUUGCCGGGCGUCAGUAAUGAAGUUGUGCUGCUGGGCUGUGCUGCUAUGAAGUUGAAGUUGCUAAAUCAUGGUGAUGUAGAAAUCGCGUAGCGCGCAUAUAAUGCAUCUACUGUGAUAUGAAUGCCCCACGUCAAUGUGAAACGCGCAGCGUUCAGGCGCACACAGCACAGGAGCCAGCUUCAAACGAGGAGGGGUGCGUCACUUGAGUGGGUUGAGUCAAUGAUGUGAUCUUCCUGUCUGGGUUGGCGCCCCCCCUUGGGUUGUGCCGUGGCGGAGAUCUUUGUGGGCUAUACUCGGCCUUGUCUCAGGAUGGACCUGAGCCCUAUAGGACCAUGCCUCAGGACUACCUGACAUGAUGACUCCUUGCUGUCCCCAGUCCACCUGGCCGUGCUGCUGCUCCAGUUUCAACUGUUCUGCCUUAUUAUUAUUGGACCAUGCUGGUCAUUUAUGAAAAUUUGAACAUCUUGGCCAUGUUCUGUUAUAAUCUCCACCCGGCACAGCCAGAAGAGGACUGGCCACCCCACAUAGCCUGGUUCCUCUCUAAAUUUCUUCCUAGGUUUUGGCCUUUCUAGGGAGUUUUUCCUAGCCACCGUGCUUCUACACCUGCAUUGCUUGCUGUUUGGGGUUUUAGGCUGGGUUUCUGUACGGCACUUUGAGAUAUCAGCUGAUGUACGAAGGGCUAUAUAAAUAAAUUUGAUUUGAUGAGCUGAGGAGAGGAAGCCAUUUCAAAGUAUUGAGAUGCAACCCUCAGUGAUAGAACAGCACGGUGUGUUCUCGUCGGUUCUGUUACAUGUGGACACACCCACUGUUGAUUCUGUUAAUGGUUAACUUUUGGCUACUGUCACAGUGACUGACUAGUGUGUGCUGCAAAACCGCAUCUUAGUUUCAACUAGUAUUUGUUUACAUUGUAGAGCAUGUACAGUACUUGUCAAAAGUUUGGACACAUCUACCCAUUCCAGG
Molecule: long non-coding RNA, 1327 nt
Organism: Oncorhynchus tshawytscha (Chinook salmon)
Lineage: Eukaryota; Metazoa; Chordata; Actinopteri; Salmoniformes; Salmonidae
Source: Ensembl